Pongo abelii (Sumatran orangutan) is the source of this 61-nucleotide small nuclear RNA. Its record names the gene U7. It matches the Rfam family "U7 small nuclear RNA". From Rfam's summary of the family: Animal histone pre-mRNAs are spliced by a different mechanism than nuclear pre-mRNAs and self-splicing introns. This processing involves the U7 snRNP, which contains only one RNA species: U7. The record is from Ensembl. Lineage: Eukaryota; Metazoa; Chordata; Mammalia; Primates; Hominidae.
UACAGCUCAGCUCUUUUAGAAUUUGUCUAGCAGAUGUCUUAGUCUUCACCAGGACACCCCC